This 406-nucleotide ribosomal RNA is filed under the name uncultured bacterium. RNAcentral's name for it is "partial 16S ribosomal RNA". It matches the Rfam family "Bacterial small subunit ribosomal RNA", at positions 28 to 526 of the family's 1533-position model. The record is from RNAcentral.
GAUGAACGCUAGCUACAGGCUUAACACAUGCAAGUCGAGGGACCGGCGCACGGGUGAGUAACACGUAUCCAACCUGCCCUUUACUCGGGGAUAGCCUUUCGAAAGAAAUAUUAAUACCCGAUAUAAAGGAUGGGGAUGCGUUCCAUUAGGUUGUUGGUGAGGUAACGGCCCACCAAGCCUUCGAUGGAUAGGGGUUCUGAGAGGAAGGACCCCAAAAUUGGAACAGAGCCACGGUCCAAACUGCUACGGGAGGCAGCAGUGAAGAAUAUUGGUCAAUGAGCGCUAGCCUGUACCAGCCAAGUAGCGUGAAGGAUGAAGGCUUAUGGGUCGUAAACUUAUAGAAUAUAAGAAUAUGGAUUAUAUGAAUAAGGAUCGGCUAACUCCGUGCCAGCAGCCGCGGUAAUAC